This 533-nucleotide ribosomal RNA is filed under the name uncultured Citrobacter sp. RNAcentral describes it as "bacterial SSU rRNA". It matches the Rfam family "Bacterial small subunit ribosomal RNA", at positions 505 to 1040 of the family's 1533-position model. The record is from RNAcentral. Lineage: Bacteria; Pseudomonadati; Pseudomonadota; Gammaproteobacteria; Enterobacterales; Enterobacteriaceae.
GUGCCAGCCGCUGCGGUAAUACGGAGGGUGCAAGCGUUAAUCGGAAUUACUGGGCGUAAAGCGCACGCAGGCGGUCUGUCAAGUCGGAUGUGAAAUCCCCGGGCUCAACCCGGGAACUGCAUUCGAAACCGUCAGGCUGGAGUCUCGUAGAGGGGGUAGAAUUCCAGGUGUAGCGGUGAAAUGCGUAGAGAUCUGGAGGAAUACCGGUGGCGAAGGCGGCCCCCUGGACGAAGACUGACGCUCAGGUGCGAAAGCGUGGGGAGCAAACAGGAUUAGAUACCCUGGUAGUCCACGCCGUAAACGAUGUCUAUUUGGAGGUUGUGCCCUUGAGGGUGUGGCUUCCGGAGCUAACGCGUUAAAUAGACCGCCUGGGAGUACGGCCGCAAGGUUAAACUCAAAUGAAUUGACGGGGCCCGCACAAGCGGUGGAGCAUGUGGUUUAAUUCGAUGCAACGCGAAGAACCUUACCUGGUCUUGACAUCCACAGAACUUGGCAGAGAUGCCUUGGUGCCUUCGGGAACUGUGAGACAGGUG